GUGCUCUUCAGAAGCACGUAUCCCAAAACUGGAAUCAUACAAAGAUUAGCAUGGUCCGUACACAAGGGUGACUUGCAAAUUCGUGAAGUAGUCCAUAUUUUU
This is a small nuclear RNA of Trichosurus vulpecula (common brushtail), 102 nucleotides long. The record is from RefSeq and is a predicted model, not a curated record. Lineage: Eukaryota; Metazoa; Chordata; Mammalia; Diprotodontia; Phalangeridae.